AUUGAACGCUGGCGGCAGGCUUAACACAUGCAAGUCGAGCGGAGUGAUGGUGCUUGCACUAUCACUUAGCGGCGGACGGGUGAGUAAUGCUUAGGAAUCUGCCUAUUAGUGGGGGACAACAUCUCGAAAGGGAUGCUAAUACCGCAUACGUCCUACGGGAGAAAGCAGGGGAUCACUUGUGACCUUGCGCUAAUAGAUGAGCCUAAGUCGGAUUAGCUAGUUGGGGGGGUAAAGGCCUACCAAGGCGACGAUCUGUAGCGGAUCUGAGAGGAUGAUCGGCCAAACUGGGACUGAGAAACGGCCCAGAGUCCUACGGGGGGCAGCAGUGGGGAAUAUUGGACAAUGGGGGGAACCCUGAUCCAGCCAUGCCGCGUGUGUGAAGAAGGCCUUAUGGUUGUAAAGCACUUUAAGCGAGGAGGAGGCUCUUUUGGUUAAUACCCAAGAUGAGUGGACGUUACUCGCAGAAUAAGCACCGGCUAACUCUGUGCCAGCCGCCGCCGUAA
Molecule: ribosomal RNA, 503 nt
Filed under: uncultured bacterium
Lineage: Bacteria
Description: partial 16S ribosomal RNA
Rfam family: Bacterial small subunit ribosomal RNA
Source: RNAcentral